GACGAAGGAUGCAAGCGUUAUCCGGAUUCAUUGGGUUUAAAGGGAGCGUAGGCGGACUUAUAAGUCAGUGGUGAAAUCUCUGGGCUUAACUCAGAAACUGCCAUUGAUACUGUAGGUCUAGAGUACAUUUGCUGUGGGCGGAAUAUGGACAUGUAGUGGUGAAAUACUUAGAUAUGUCAUAGAACACCGAUUGCGAAGGCAGCUCACAAAAA
This 212-nucleotide ribosomal RNA is filed under the name uncultured bacterium. RNAcentral's name for it is "partial 16S ribosomal RNA". It matches the Rfam family "Bacterial small subunit ribosomal RNA", at positions 524 to 734 of the family's 1533-position model. The record is from RNAcentral.